GGUGCUGGUUCACUCAUCUUCAACACAGAGCUUCCACAUUCCAAGCAAGUCAAGCUUGCCCUUCCUUCCUCCCUCAUCUCUCUAGAGGCAGUGGCCUAGCUGCACAUUCUCAUAAAGCAGCUCAGCGUGGGCUGCCAGCGAUCUAACAUCAGGAUGGAAGAAAACAGAGGCCUUAGAGGUUCGGCAUUUUCUGGAAUCUAAUGAUUCUGCUGAUUCUCCCGCGUUUAGCAAUAGCCGUUUCAAUUUCAGGAUGCUUAAAUCACUUCUUUGUUCUUUCUGGCAUGUAACUACAGCAUUACCCGUGUCUACAGCUGACCUCUACUUCAAAUGGUGCCGCUCUGUCCCUCAGGCUCUGAUGUAACUCCCUCCUCUCACUUCAGGGUAUGUGUCUAAGUCUGGGAUCCAAAACCUCUCCUUCUCUUUUGUAUUUACCGGUCUCCAACUUCCAGGUUGCUUCCAGGUUCACCGCCAAGUCACUCAGCAGGUUACUCCAAUGCUCAUUCAUUACCCAUUUAUUUACUGAAGGCCUGCCAUAUGCCAAGGAAAACAAUAGUGACCAAAAACUUAUCCCGGCUCUUUAGGACCUCAGAGUCUCGCCAGGAGGGGAAGACAAGCAAACAAGAUGUUUCGGAUUCUGCUGCUUCUGCAGUGUGGAUAUGGAGAGCCCUUCCUAAUGAACAGCCUGCACACAAACCUCUGUCUCAGAGUCAGCUUUUCGGGGAGCCCUACCCACAACACUGCUUGUGAAGUCAAUGUGCAGAGCCCUGCUGAAGGCAGAGAGAAGAUUGUCAUCGGCUGAGUCUGGUCAGGUAACUCACACCGUGAAGAACAGUGCCCAAGUCCUUAUUUAGAGAAUUAAGUUUGGUGCCACCUCACGGUCAACCACAACAUGUGUAUUGGGCCAUCAAAACAUCAGAGCAGGGGGACUGAAAAGGUGAUCCCUUCCCUUACAGGACCUGCCCUUCCUCAACCCAUCAGUCAGAUAUAGGUACAGCCACUUCUUAAAACCUUUAAAGGCCGGGCGCGGUGGCUCAAGCCUGUAAUCCCAGCACUUUGGGAGGCCGAGGCGGGUGGAU
Molecule: non-coding RNA, 1076 nt
Organism: Macaca mulatta (Rhesus monkey)
Lineage: Eukaryota; Metazoa; Chordata; Mammalia; Primates; Cercopithecidae
Source: RefSeq, a predicted model, not a curated record